UCCCUGGUUGAUCCUGCCAGUAGUCAUAUGCUUGUCUCAAAGAUUAAGCCAUGCAUGUCUAAGUGCAAGCCAAAAUAAGGUGAAACCGCGAAUGGCUCAUUAAAUCAGUUAUGGUUCCUUAGAUCGUACCACAUGACUUGGAUAACUGUGGUAAUUCUAGAGCUAAUACAUGCUAAACUGAGUCCCGACCAGAAAUGGGAGGGAUGCUUUUAUUAGAUCAAAACCAAUCGGCGUGGCUUGUCUGCGUCCGUUUGCUUUGGUGACUCUGGAUAACUUUGUGCUGAUCGCACGGUCUCCGUACCGGCGACGCAUCUUUCAAAUGUCUGCCUUAUCAACUGUCGAUGGUA
RNAcentral lists this ribosomal RNA (347 nucleotides) under Bacillus grandii benazzii. RNAcentral describes it as "SSU rRNA". It matches the Rfam family "Eukaryotic small subunit ribosomal RNA", at positions 1 to 330 of the family's 1831-position model. RNAcentral also lists the same sequence under 1 other name. The record is from RNAcentral. Lineage: Eukaryota; Metazoa; Arthropoda; Insecta; Phasmatodea; Bacillidae.